CAGCGACAGCGCGUCAUGAAUGCACAAC
This 28-nucleotide small RNA is filed under the name Bombyx mori (domestic silkworm). Its description in RNAcentral is "ovarian small RNA-13228". Lineage: Eukaryota; Metazoa; Arthropoda; Insecta; Lepidoptera; Bombycidae. The record is from RNAcentral.